UCUAUGCAUACAUGAUUAAGUCGCUUUGGAUAAAAGUGUCUGCUAAAUGGUAUAAU
Molecule: non-coding RNA, 56 nt
Organism: Salmo salar (Atlantic salmon)
Lineage: Eukaryota; Metazoa; Chordata; Actinopteri; Salmoniformes; Salmonidae
Source: Rfam